AAAGGGAGUGCUUCUAUGCGAGUUUUGGCGUCUUCGUUGAUACCAGACGACCUGAGCCAGGCAUGGCGUCGCAGAAUGAUAGAGGAAACCAUGGUCUUGGAAGCAAUGUCAGCAGAAUGUCUGGAAGCAAGAAGCUGAUGCUUGGCUACAUUAGAGGCUUCUUCAAAGGUGUUGAGGAAAAAGGACCGAACAUCAUCUGAAGUGUCUUGCAAAGCAGGGUCUGCUGCGGAAGAUUUCACCCUCGAAGUUGCUUUGUGGGCGGGAACCUCAGAGGAAACAGCCGGGGCAACGGAGGCGCCGGGCGCCGCUCUAGAAAUUUCCGAGGAUUCCGGCGCAGGCGCGGACUUAACCCUAUAGUGUGCAUUCACAGAGGUCACGAACGAAGAA
Molecule: non-coding RNA, 387 nt
Organism: Pogona vitticeps (central bearded dragon)
Lineage: Eukaryota; Metazoa; Chordata; Lepidosauria; Squamata; Agamidae
Source: RefSeq, a predicted model, not a curated record